AUCCUGGCUCAGAUUGAACGCUGGCGGCAGGCCUAACACAUGCAAGUCGAACGGUAGCACAGAGAGCUUGCUCUCGGGUGACGAGUGGCGGACGGGUGAGUAAUGUCUGGGAAACUGCCCGAUGGAGGGGGAUAACUACUGGAAACGGUAGCUAAUACCGCAUAAUGUCGCAAGACCAAAGAGGGGGACCUUCGGGCCUCUUGCCAUCGGAUGUGCCCAGAUGGGAUUAGCUWGUAGGUGRGGUAACGGCUCACCUAGGCGACGAUCCCUAGCUGGUCUGAGAGGAUGACCAGCCACACUGGAACUGAGACACGGUCCAGACUCCUMCGGGAGGCAGCAGUGGGGAAUAUUGCACAAUGGGCGCAAGCCUGAUGCAGCCAUGCCGCGUGUAUGAAGAAGGCCUUCGGGUUGUAAAGUACUUUCAGCGAGGAGGAAGGCGUUGUGGUUAAUAACCACARCGAU
RNAcentral lists this ribosomal RNA (462 nucleotides) under Citrobacter freundii. RNAcentral's name for it is "bacterial SSU rRNA". It matches the Rfam family "Bacterial small subunit ribosomal RNA", at positions 16 to 476 of the family's 1533-position model. The record is from RNAcentral. Lineage: Bacteria; Pseudomonadati; Pseudomonadota; Gammaproteobacteria; Enterobacterales; Enterobacteriaceae.